This 1158-nucleotide ribosomal RNA is filed under the name Salmonella enterica subsp. enterica serovar Oranienburg. Its description in RNAcentral is "partial 23S ribosomal RNA". It matches the Rfam family "Bacterial large subunit ribosomal RNA", at positions 1 to 1191 of the family's 2925-position model. The record is from RNAcentral. Lineage: Bacteria; Pseudomonadati; Pseudomonadota; Gammaproteobacteria; Enterobacterales; Enterobacteriaceae.
GGGUUGUGAGGUUAAGCGACUAAGCGUACACGGUGGAUGCCCUGGCAGUCAGAGGCGAUGAAGGACGUGCUAAUCUGCGAUAAGCGCCGGUAAGGUGAUAUGAACCGUUAUAACCGGCGAUUUCCGAAUGGGGAAACCCAGUGUGACUCGUCACACUAUCAUUAACUGAAUCCAUAGGUUAAUGAGGCGAACCGGGGGAACUGAAACAUCUAAGUACCCCGAGGAAAAGAAAUCAACCGAGAUUCCCCCAGUAGCGGCGAGCGAACGGGGAGGAGCCCAGAGCCUGAAUCAGCAUGUGUGUUAGUGGAAGCGUCUGGAAAGGCGCGCGAUACAGGGUGACAGCCCCGUACACAAAAGCGCAUGUGCUGUGAGCUCGAUGAGUAGGGCGGGACACGUGGUAUCCUGUCUGAAUAUGGGGGGACCAUCCUCCAAGGCUAAAUACUCCUGACUGACCGAUAGUGAACCAGUACCGUGAGGGAAAGGCGAAAAGAACCCCGGCGAGGGGAGUGAAAAAGAACCUGAAACCGUGUACGUACAAGCAGUGGGAGCACCCUUUGGGGUGUGACUGCGUACCUUUUGUAUAAUGGGUCAGCGACUUAUAUUCUGUAGCAAGGUUAACCGUAUAGGGGAGCCGGAGGGAAACCGAGUCUUAACCGGGCGUUAAGUUGCAGGGUAUAGACCCGAAACCCGGUGAUCUAGCCAUGGGCAGGUUGAAGGUUGGGUAACACUAACUGGAGGACCGAACCGACUAAUGUUGAAAAAUUAGCGGAUGACCUGUGGCUGGGGGUGAAAGGCCAAUCAAACCGGGAGAUAGCUGGUUCUCCCCGAAAGCUAUUUAGGUAGCGCCUCGUGAAUUCAUCUCCGGGGGUAGAGCACUGUUUCGGCUAGGGGGCCAUCCCGGCUUACCAACCCGAUGCAAACUGCGAAUACCGGAGAAUGUUAUCACGGGAGACACACGGCGGGUGCUAACGUCCGUCGUGAAGAGGGAAACAACCCAGACCGCCAGCUAAGGUCCCAAAGUCAUGGUUAAGUGGGAAACGAUGUGGGAAGGCCCAGACAGCCAGGAUGUUGGCUUAGAAGCAGCCAUCAUUUAAAGAAAGCGUAAUAGCUCACUGGUCGAGUCGGCCUGCGCGGAAGAUGUAACGGGGCUAAACCAUG